CGCGUAGGCGGCCGAGCGGGUCGUGGGUGAAAUCCUCCAGCUUAACUGGAGAACUGCUUACGAUACCACUGCGGCUCGAGGAAGGAAGGGGCAAUCGGAACUGUCGGUGGAGCGGUGAAAUGCGUUGAUAUCGACAGGAACGCCGGUGGCGAAAGCGGAUUGCUGGUCCUUUUCUGACGCUGAUGCGCGAAAGCCAGGGGAGCAAACG
Molecule: ribosomal RNA, 208 nt
Filed under: uncultured bacterium
Lineage: Bacteria
Description: partial 16S ribosomal RNA
Rfam family: Bacterial small subunit ribosomal RNA
Source: RNAcentral